UAAGGGCCAAAACUCUCAGGCUUAUGGCAAUUUGACACUCCUCUCAUGCGGUGUAAUAGGACUGCUUCUAAGGCUGGUCUCUUGUGCGUUUCCUGUGGAGUACAAGCACAUAAAACCAUGGAUUUCACAGACGAGUGUCCAGCUAAAUAAAUGCAACUGAGGAGACAUGCGGCAAAGUAAAUGGAUUUCAGCCCCGGGUCCUGGAGAGGCCAGAGAUGUAGGAAGAUUGGAGGCAAAAAAGUCCCCAAGAAACUAGUAUGAACUGAAAAUGGAAGUGUUACAGGCUUGGAAGAGUGUCUCCGGAGGAAACAGCCAGCCUCUGGUGCUGCCCGUGAGUCAUAAAAUUCAGACAUUGAAAACCUCAGGGUGAGCUGUAGGACUCCGGUGGACCUGGCAAGAUUAUAUAUGGAGUUCUACCAUGUUUCUUUAAACAGAUAUCUCCUCCAGCAUUAAGAAAAGCCUGUUAUCUUUGCAAAAAGAGUGUAUAAACAGUACUACAUGUAUGAGUGCCAAAUCAUUGUUUAUAUUAA
Electrophorus electricus (electric eel) is the source of this 530-nucleotide long non-coding RNA. RefSeq lists it as uncharacterized. Lineage: Eukaryota; Metazoa; Chordata; Actinopteri; Gymnotiformes; Gymnotidae. The record is from RefSeq and is a predicted model, not a curated record.